Molecule: small RNA, 230 nt
Filed under: Caulobacter vibrioides NA1000
Lineage: Bacteria; Pseudomonadati; Pseudomonadota; Alphaproteobacteria; Caulobacterales; Caulobacteraceae
Description: small non-coding RNA
Source: RNAcentral
UCAGGAUGAGGUGUUCAGCAACGGAUUUCCUCAUCCUGAGGUGUGAGCCGAAGGCGAGCCUCGAAGGACGCAUUGCGGUAGAAGCUCACCCCAGACGGAUGCUUCAAAUUAACCGACCUCCCCGGCGAAUGCCGGGGCCCAGAUGCAUCCGGAGCGGCUGGGGAUGAUCCGAUAUCGUGCGGCGCUUGCCAGAUUGGCGUCCGUGGGUUCGAUCUGGGCCCCGGCAUUCG